RNAcentral lists this ribosomal RNA (567 nucleotides) under Triticum aestivum (bread wheat). Its description in RNAcentral is "partial small subunit ribosomal RNA". The record is from RNAcentral. Lineage: Eukaryota; Viridiplantae; Streptophyta; Magnoliopsida; Poales; Poaceae.
AUGAAUGGACGGUUAGGCGAUAUUGGUCUUGCAAGGAUAUAUGACCAUGAAACCGUCGCUAAAGCUGCCCACGUGUCUGGCACAAUUGGAUAUCUCGCACCAGAACUCGUGCGCACAGGGAAACCAACACCCUUCACCCAUGUAUACGCAUUUGGCAUGUUUCUCCUGGAGGUCACAUGUGGACGUAGGCCAAUCUUCACCAGCGAGCAAAAAAAUCAGGUAUUACUGGUAGAGUGGGUGCUUGAGCACCACCAAAAUGGCUCAAUCCUUGACAUGGCAGAUCCACGACUCCAAGGGGAAUUCAAUAGGGGGGAGGUAACCAUCGUGCUCAAACUAGGUUUGCUAUGCACAUACCCAUUGCCUAAUGUGCGGCCUAUUAUGCCGAAGGUCAUGCACUACCUCGACCAUGGUCAGUCGCCACCUGAAUUAUCUCCGGCCUACAUAAGCUACAUGGACCUAGUGCAAAACGAAGGGUCGAAUUCAAACAACAUGAAUACACCAGAGUUUGAGACCAAAAUGAGCGUUGCCGCUAUAUCCUCAACGACAAUUUUGCAAGACGGAAGAUGA